ACGCAACGUGCUCGCACCUCGCACACAAAGAUUUGCGCUGCGGACCACUGAUAAGAUAGGUGACGAUAAGUAACUUCCUUAUUUAACUACCUUGGAAUAUAACCGAUGACGUCAUCUUCUACCCGGUCUGAAACAAUUAAGUUGCACUAACGUUACCUACGUUAGUGCAACCCCUUUGUGCUAAAUAUUUGCGGCUUUGCUACAACAAAAGCAUCUUACUUUUGUUCUAAUUCUGAUAACUCAUUAAUGUAAUAGUGCGGCAAGUUCAUACGUGACUACUAGAUUCAUGUUCGUGGGAAAGUGCACGUCAAUCGAAAAUAUAUUUACCCCAAAAAUAAAAUUGCGAGAAAUGUAUUAAGCAGUUAGACGAAUUUUCAGUAGAGGAUUUAACGCGAGUUGCAAUUUCACGUGUUUUAUCUUCAGUACUGGCGAUGGCGGUCAGAUCAACGUAUAUUUUCACCAAAAAAAAUAUUCAAGAAGAAAGGGCAGGAAGUAAUCACAAAAAGGGACAUGGAAUUCGCUUAAAUUCCAGACUCAGAUAAAAAAACAUCAAAGUUUAAAGGUUGCUGAGAUGCAGAAUCGAAAACUUGCUUGGCCAAAAUACUUUGCAUACUUUCGUAUCGCCGGCGCGUAGCUACCGGAGCGUAUUACUGUUUAAUUUUUUUAACACAUUUCAUUGAUUUAAUUUCCUUUGUCUACCUUCUUUGCCCUUUAAAUAAUCAAGUGCAAAAUGUAAACAACCAGCAAUGGCCUCUUCUGAAAUCGCGGUUUGGUAUUAAUAUAUAUGAAAAAAAUUGUAGGUAGUUUUAAACUGGUUAAAUUCAAUAAUUUUUCAAUUACGAUCAAUAAUAACUAACUACGAACAAAUGCACAAGGAGUCAAAUGGCUCACUUCACAAUUGCUAAGUUAGGUAGAUUCACUUAUUUUGCGAAAAGUGUACAAUAACAUGCUUGCAAUAAAAUUUGUCGAAUGUAAA
Molecule: long non-coding RNA, 976 nt
Organism: Helicoverpa zea (corn earworm)
Lineage: Eukaryota; Metazoa; Arthropoda; Insecta; Lepidoptera; Noctuidae
Exons: 2
Source: RefSeq, a predicted model, not a curated record